Molecule: ribosomal RNA, 498 nt
Filed under: uncultured bacterium
Lineage: Bacteria
Description: partial 16S ribosomal RNA
Rfam family: Bacterial small subunit ribosomal RNA
Source: RNAcentral
AUUGAACGCUGGCGGCAUGCCUUACACAUGCAAGUCGACCGGUAACAGGUCUUCGGAUGCUGACGAGUGGCGAACGGGUGAGUAAUACAUCGGAACGUGCCUAGUAGUGGGGGAUAACUACUCGAAAGAGUGGCUAAUACCGCAUGAGAUCUACGGAUGAAAGCAGGGGAUCGCAAGACCUUGUGCUACUAGAGCGGCUGAUGGCAGAUUAGGUAGUUGGUGGGAUAAAAGCUUACCAAGCCGACGAUCUGUAGCUGGUCUGAGAGGACGAUCAGCCACACUGAGACUGAGACACGGCCCAGACUCCUACGGGAGGCAGCAGUGGGGAAUUUUGGACAAUGGGCGCAAGCCUGAUCCAGCAAUGCCGCGUGCAGGAUGAAGGCCUUCGGGUUGUAAACUGCUUUUGUACGGAACGAAAAGCCCCGGGUUAAUACCCUGGGGUCAUGACGGUACCGUAAGAAUAAGCACCGGCUAACUAUGUGCCAGCCGCCGCCGUAA